Populus euphratica (Euphrates poplar) is the source of this 840-nucleotide long non-coding RNA. RefSeq lists it as uncharacterized. The record is from RefSeq and is a predicted model, not a curated record. The transcript is spliced from 2 exons. NCBI's taxonomy places the organism in Eukaryota, Viridiplantae, Streptophyta, Magnoliopsida, Malpighiales, Salicaceae.
UCUUUCUAAAAAAACAUUAUCCACUGUAACUGAGGAUGGCUGAUUAUACUAAUAUAAUGAAAGAUGGCUCAAAUUCAGCUGGCCAGUCUCAAAUGAACACAAAUGCACACAAAUACACACAAAUACACACAUCACAUACAGUUUCUAGCACACAACACAGCAUGGGCAAACCACGCAUACAACUUAGAUCAUAAUGAUGGUUUGAAGGUACUUCAGACUCUAUUAUCAACAUCUCUUAACAUUUAAUUUUUUUCAUAACUUUCGCAUAUGAAGUGAAUGAAAAACGAGCCAGGAAGCAAGAGCAGUAGUUCGUGUUUGAGUAAUUAAGAUUCUAAUGAUCUAGUACAUUUUUAACCCUUUCCCCUUCAUUUUUUACUAUUCCUUAAAACUGUACUUUGUGGAUGAGUUUUUUAAGUUGAAAUAUCCUCUUAGUUGAGAAUUCAACAAACAGAGUGCGAGGAUCAGCUUUAUAUCAGUAUAAAUGGGGACAAGUACUAAAUUAAUAACUCUUCCGUAUUGCUCCGACCUUUUCAUUAAUUUUCUGUUUUUGUUAGUGCAGCACAAGAUUCAAAAAAUUUAUUGAUUAAGCAUAAUUUUGGAUUUUUUUUCGGACUCAACAGUGUGUCCAUAAAUGUGAAUGACUCGUCUAUAAAUUGAACAAUAAGAACAAACCCGCAUGCCAAGCUAUGCUGAAGACUAGCUGUUCAUGCCAUUCACCAGCUCAGAUUCCAGGUAGAAAAACUAAAAUAAAGCUUUAGAGACAUUAAGAAUAACACUUUUGUUUUUGAAAAUCAAUAUGUACUGGCACUUCAUCCCAACUCUUUUUUUCUGUUUGGAGAA